CUUUUCCUCUUCCUCCUCCUCUUCCUCCCUGUCUUCCUCCUCUUCUUCACUGUGAAUCUCUCAUUAUUUACCUAUCUGGGAUUGUACUUGGUCGGUCAAUCCAGUUCCCCCUAAUGAAAUAUCUCAGUCAUUUUGAGCCUAGUCACAAAUCUUUGGCUCUGUUAGUUACUUCACUGUCCAUU
RNAcentral lists this microRNA precursor (182 nucleotides) under Mustela putorius furo (domestic ferret). RNAcentral's name for it is "miRNA (ENSMPUG00000020250.1)". Lineage: Eukaryota; Metazoa; Chordata; Mammalia; Carnivora; Mustelidae. The record is from RNAcentral.